AGUGAACGCUGGCGGUAGGCCUAACACAUGCAAGUCGAACGGCAGCACAGUAAGAGCUUGCUCUUACGGGUGGCGAGUGGCGGACGGGUGAGGAAUACAUCGGAAUCUACUUUUUCGUGGGGGAUAACGUAGGGAAACUUACGCUAAUACCGCAUACGACCUACGGGUGAAAGCAGGGGAUCUUCGGACCUUGCGCGAUUGAAUGAGCCGAUGUCGGAUUAGCUAGUUGGCGGGGUAAAGGCCCACCAAGGCGACGAUCCGUAGCUGGUCUGAGAGGAUGAUCAGCCACACUGGAACUGAGACACGGUCCAGACUCCUACGGGAGGCAGCAGUGGGGAAUAUUGGACAAUGGGCGCAAGCCUGAUCCAGCCAUACCGCGUGGGUGAAGAAGGCCUUCGGGUUGUAAAGCCCUUUUGUUGGGAAAGAAAAGCAGCAGGUUAAUACCCCGCUGUUCUGACGGGACCCAAAGAAUAAGCACCGGCUAACGUCG
Molecule: ribosomal RNA, 490 nt
Filed under: uncultured bacterium
Lineage: Bacteria
Description: partial 16S ribosomal RNA
Rfam family: Bacterial small subunit ribosomal RNA
Source: RNAcentral